Molecule: non-coding RNA, 226 nt
Organism: Chiloscyllium plagiosum (whitespotted bambooshark)
Lineage: Eukaryota; Metazoa; Chordata; Chondrichthyes; Orectolobiformes; Hemiscylliidae
Source: RefSeq, a predicted model, not a curated record
CUAGUUGGAUAGACUGUGAAACCAUAUCCCAAAAAUCAAAACCCUUUAAGAGACAAGGAAAGGAAACAUGCCGUCAAAUCUGCUGAGUAGUGUUUUUUCCAAUAUUUCUGUUUUUAUUUCAAGGAGAUCAUCUGUACCUGAGCUGAUUCAUUUGAGCUGACCUUUUUAAAACAUGCUGUGAUGGUGUUUCUAUGAAAACCACAAACAACAGUCCUGGUACACUCAA